GUUUACAGUCUCAAGAUGUACUCUUGGAUUCUCGCAUAGCAUAGCCUGAUAUUUGGUCAUUCUGCUAUUGCUGAACCAAUGAUUAUCUUUGUAAUCCAGUAGGGUCUGUACUGCAUGAGGUACUCGCACAUAGAGUUCCUGACCCACUGUAGGUUUGUCAGCUUCCGCUACCAACAAAGCUGCAGCAGCCACUGCUUGUAGACAAGGUGGAAGACCACUAGCCACCGCAUCCAGUUGUUUGGACAUGUAGGCUACAGGUCUUUGCCAUAAUCCUAAGUGCUGAGUUAACACUCCCACGGCCAUUCUUCUUUGCUCAUGCACAUAUAGGUAGAAAGGACGCGAGUGAUCUGGUAGGCCUAAGGCUGGGGCACUCAUAAGUGCUUUCCUGAUAUCUUCAAAUGCCUUCUGUUGUUCUGUGGUCCAUAGGAAUCAUGUUCCGUGCCUUUUACAGCUUCAUACAAAGGUUUCGCC
This is a non-coding RNA of Pelobates cultripes (western spadefoot toad), 471 nucleotides long. The record is from the annotation of a GenBank genome assembly. Lineage: Eukaryota; Metazoa; Chordata; Amphibia; Anura; Pelobatidae.